Molecule: ribosomal RNA, 558 nt
Filed under: Fusarium oxysporum
Lineage: Eukaryota; Fungi; Ascomycota; Sordariomycetes; Hypocreales; Nectriaceae
Description: eukaryotic LSU rRNA
Rfam family: 5.8S ribosomal RNA (bases 152-305)
Source: RNAcentral
GGGUAUACGGAGCUUCACUCCCAACCCCUGUGACAUACCACUUGUUGCCUCGGCGGAUCAGCCCGCUCCCGGUAAAACGGGACGGCCCGCCAGAGGACCCCUAAACUCUGUUUCUAUAUGUAACUUCUGAGUAAAACCAUAAAUAAAUCAAAACUUUCAACAACGGAUCUCUUGGUUCUGGCAUCGAUGAAGAACGCAGCAAAAUGCGAUAAGUAAUGUGAAUUGCAGAAUUCAGUGAAUCAUCGAAUCUUUGAACGCACAUUGCGCCCGCCAGUAUUCUGGCGGGCAUGCCUGUUCGAGCGUCAUUUCAACCCUCAAGCACAGCUUGGUGUUGGGACUCGCGUUAAUUCGCGUUCCUCAAAUUGAUUGGCGGUCACGUCGAGCUUCCAUAGCGUAGUAGUAAAACCCUCGUUACUGGUAAUCGUCGCGGCCACGCCGUUAAACCCCAACUUCUGAAUGUUGACCUCGGAUCAGGUAGGAAUACCCGCUGAACUUAAGCAUAUCUGAGCCGGGGAGGGAAAAACAACAAACAAAGUUUGACCUCAAAUCAGGGGAGGA